Molecule: small nucleolar RNA, 84 nt
Organism: Humulus lupulus (European hop)
Lineage: Eukaryota; Viridiplantae; Streptophyta; Magnoliopsida; Rosales; Cannabaceae
Product: small nucleolar RNA snoR109
Exons: 1
Source: RefSeq, a predicted model, not a curated record
UGAUUCUGAGUACCUGCUUGGGAGUUUACUGGCUAGCUGUUGUGAUUACUGUCGGCUAAUUUGCUUACCGAACUUCUCUCAUUU